This 460-nucleotide ribosomal RNA is filed under the name uncultured bacterium. Its description in RNAcentral is "partial 16S ribosomal RNA". It matches the Rfam family "Bacterial small subunit ribosomal RNA", at positions 338 to 795 of the family's 1533-position model. The record is from RNAcentral.
CCUACGGGAGGCAGCAGUGAGGAAUAUUGGUCAAUGGACGAGAGUCUGAACCAGCCAAGUAGCGUGAAGGAUGACUGCCCUAUGGGUUGUAAACUUCUUUUAUAAAGGAAUAAAACGAGGCACGUGUGCCUUUUUGCAUGUACUUUAUGAAUAAGGAUCGGCUAACUCCGUGCCAGCAGCCGCGGUAAUACGGAGGAUCCGAGCGUUAUCCGGAUUUAUUGGGUUUAAAGGGAGCGUAGAUGGGUUGUUAAGUCAGUUGUUAAAGUUUGCGGCUCAACCGUAAAAUUGCAAUUGAAACUGGCAGUCUUGAGUACAGUUGAGGUAGGCGGAAUUCGUGGUGUAGCGGUGAAAUGCUUAGAUAUCACGAAGAACCCCGAUUGCGAAGGCAGCUUACUAAACUGUGACUGACAUUGAUGCUCGAAAGUGUGGGUAUCAAACAGGAUUAGAUACCCGGGUAGUC